AGAACUUAGAUUUUUGGCUAUGUUGAGAUGAUACCUAGCCUGUGAAUAAGGUAGUUUUGUUUGAAUUUCUAAAUGCCCGUUUGUCAAAGCUUCUUUUUGUAUCUUUCUGAAUAGGUGGAGCCAAGAAAACCCAGAAAGAUAGGAAACAAAAAAGAAAAAUAAGAGAGAGAGAGAGAAUUUAAUGUUUUGUUGGAGUAACGUGUAGAAGAUGGCAGUCAAGGAAGGCGUCAACAAAAUCGUCUAACAUCAAAUGUAGUGGUUGAAAAGGGUUUUGGGAUUUGUUUGACACGCAAAGGAAAUUAAGGAAGAGAGAGACUUUUGCUUUUAUCAGAACUUUGUCUGCUUGCAUGGCAAUUCAGCCCCACUUGAACUUAUGUAUACGUGCGCAUGUGGAUUA
Molecule: unclassified non-coding RNA, 397 nt
Filed under: Hevea brasiliensis (rubber tree)
Lineage: Eukaryota; Viridiplantae; Streptophyta; Magnoliopsida; Malpighiales; Euphorbiaceae
Source: RNAcentral